This 358-nucleotide ribosomal RNA is filed under the name Flavobacteriaceae bacterium. Its description in RNAcentral is "bacterial SSU rRNA". It matches the Rfam family "Bacterial small subunit ribosomal RNA", at positions 1 to 356 of the family's 1533-position model. Lineage: Bacteria; Pseudomonadati; Bacteroidota; Flavobacteriia; Flavobacteriales; Flavobacteriaceae. The record is from RNAcentral.
ACAACGAAGAGUUUGAUCCUGGCUCAGGAUGAACGCUAGCGGCAGGCUUAACACAUGCAAGUCGAGGGGUAACAGGGGAGCUUGCUUCCGCUGACGACCGGCGCACGGGUGCGUAACGCGUAUGCAACCUACCUUCUACAGGGGGAUAGUCAAUAGAAAUGUUGAAUAAUACCCCAUACGAUCUUAGAGUAUCAUUACUUUAAGAAGAAAGCUUCGGCGGUAGAAGAUGGGCAUGCGUCCUAUUAGUUAGUUGGUAAGGUAACGGCUUACCAAGACUACGAUAGGUAGGGGCCCUGAGAGGGGGAUCCCCCACACUGGUACUGAGACACGGACCAGACUCCUACGGGAGGCAGCAGUG